AGUCACAUCAACGCCCGAGUCUAUGGUGAUGAUAAUGUUUGUGCAAAGUGGAUGCCAAGUGACUGCACAAUCAAGGUUUCUGAGUAGUUGAAAUAGAUAAGUCUUGAGUCAAUCAGUACAUCUGUACCACAUUCAUGUGGCAAAUGCUGCUUUAUGGAGAUGUUUCUAAUACUGACCUACAAUAAUUCAGCCAAGAUCACGUUUCUACUGUCUUCAGGAAAUGAGAAAAAUGAAUCCAGGAAAUUUCCAUCUUUAACUAUACUCUGUAAAUGUGCUGUCCAAUACACAGAUAGCUACUGAGCACUGGAAUAUAGCUAGUCUGAAUGGAGAUGUUCUGUUUGACUUUUUUGGACUCCACAUGUGUGAGAUCAUGCAAUAUUUGUCUUUCUGUGCCUGGCUUAUUUCACUUAGCGUAAUGUCCUCCAGGCUCAUCCAGGUUGUUGCAAAAGGCAGGAUUUUCUUCUUUUUUAAGGCUUGGAGAGUCAUUUGUUUUCAUAAGAGCGAGCAGUUAAAGUGAAAACAAGAUCACGGAAAAGGAGAUAUAUUUUGGUAGAUCCAAGAAUCUAUGUUUGAUAGAGUCUUCACAGAAAGAGUCGAAAUUGACAACAUGCUUAUUGCUUUGGCUUUGGAUGUUGGUUGGGAACAUGGUUCUUGAAUAUCCACACUUCAAAGUAGAUCUUACUUUUUGGAAGAGUAGAAAGCUCAUUACGUUGGUUAAUUUGAGAAGUAAGACAAGGGCUCAGAAAGGUACUAGUUAUUAGUACCUUAUACACUAGCCUGCCUGGCAUUCUUACCAUGACAGUGAAUUGUCAUGGUAAGAGUUGUGGUUUUAAACCUCUUUUCCCCAGAUGUUACAUGGAGUAAUAUAUGUAUCCACAUACAUAUUAAAGUAGGAGGUAGAUAUUAUAUUGACUGGUGACUUGAGGACAUGAUACACAAAAUAGGUAACGUUUGAUGAAGCUUGAAAUGAGCCAAGAAAGGACAAAUCUGGAUAACACACUGUAGCCUUGGUGAUGAGAAAGGAGAAAGGAAAGAUAAUGAAGAUGGGUAUCAUAUUGCUUUGCCUUGAAUUUGCAGAAAGAGAUAUUUGGAUUAUGAUGUUACCUUAAAAAAGGCAGUUGAUAUUACUCAGUGAAAGUUCAGAAGCCAAGAAAACUAUGUGUGUGUACAUAUAUGUAUAUAAUGUACAUAUGUUUAUUUCUUUUUUUAAAAAAUUCUUACCUACCUCUCUACUAUAACAAAAUUAAUUUCAUUCUUUUUUGUUGCAUUUAAACUUUAUCUUGGUAAUGUUCAUAUUACAAAUUUGCCUAUAUUGUUGGUAUUAUAUUGUUACUAUAUAGAUAUAUUUGUAAGCAUAAAUGCUUGGUAUUCAAAUGUUUAACUAGUAAUAUUCAUAUUACAAAUUUGCAUAUAUGUUUGGUAUGAUAUUGUUACUAUAUAGAUAUGUUAUAUUUGUAAGCAUCAAUGCGUGGUAUUCAAAUGUUUAACAACUCUCCAUUUUUUUCUCAAGUAACCCUCUGACAAAAGGCUGUAUUUAUAUAAAACUGACAGAUUUUUAUGGUGGAUCAUUUUUCUUACAUUAAUUACAUAGGUAGUAUUAUUUUAGUUGGAGGUCAAAUAACAUACUAUCAAUGACAAUUUAGAGAUAAAUUGUUUGAAAUCCUGAUAUGGAAGAGCUAUAGAAAUAACAUGGGUGACCUCACGUUUUUAAGAUAGCCUCUCUGCACCAUAUGGCUAGUCCCAAAUGGAGAUCAAGAAAGCAAGGUCAUUUUUAAUCUCUACAUACAUCUUGCUUUCCUGGUUUAACACUAAUCAUUCAUUGUAUUCUGCAUAUUGGAAGGGAGCAGAUGAAGGAUACUAAGAAUUCACUUUGAAAACAUGUACUCAAUGUUUCAUAUCCAAAAACUCCCAGGGAUUAAACAAUCAGAAAACCCUACAUCAUUUGCAUUUUAAUGGAUACAAAUAAGAGUUGAAACAUUUCUUUACACUUAAACUACCAUGAACAAGCUUAUAUAGCUAUUAGGAGUGAAAAUGGGGAGGAGGAGGAAGAAGGGGACUCUGAAAUUUAAGGAAAAUUCAUUUCUUUUACAGAGUUGGAGCUAGGCUGAUUAAGUCAAGGUGCCUAACUCUGCUAGAGACACAUUUUCCUAAUGAAAAAUACUGUAACUUCAGACUUUUCACAUUUUCCAUGAAUAGAUGUCAUUACUCAUUAUCACAUUUAUCAUUACUUGUAAAACAAUGAGGUGGCAGCAGGGGGGGAAAGGACUAAAAUAGAAUUGAAAAAAAAAUUGGUACUAGCUAAGGUAAUUUAAAUGAAGCUUUUUUUUUUCCAGAAGCAAAGGUGACCUCCAUGAUUACUCCACCAUACCUUUGGGAAACUGACAUAAGAUAGUGGACAACUAUAAUGGAAAGAAUAGUGACUACGGUUUCUCUCCACCCUCCUCUAAUUCUGCAUUAGAAAUGAAAAAAAGCUUGACUGGUAAAAUUCUGAAACAGACAAUGAGCUAUUUAAGUGAUAAUUACUGAAUCUCAUUUUUAGAAGCCCAUUAACAGGUAUCUCUUUAGUCAUGAGAAAAUUAUUCAUAAAUAUUAAAUUGUGUGAUCACAUUGCAAGUUUCUUUCAAAUUAUAGAAUCUGACUAAUUUCACAGUAACUGUUUGCCAUUAAUUGGCUUUAAGAUUUAAUCAAGUAAAGACAUCAUUGUUUAAUUCUAAUUUGUAAAGCCAAAAAAAGUGUAACAUUAUUAUCUUUAGUCAAACUUCUUCAAAUGUUUAUGCAAGGUAGAAAUUGAAAACAACAGGUACUCCUGUGCUUACAGUUUCUCCAGUUCAAAGAACAAAAUUCAUCAAUGGGAAGCUGCAGUGGAUUGUAGAGUAAAAUCUUGCUGCCCAACUAGAGAAUAAAAAGAGUUUGACCAGACUUAUAACAAUGACAUAAUGGCCAUUUUGUUGAGUUCUUAAUGAGUUUAGUAGGUAGUGAAAUGGGAAAGGUUCCCUUGUCCCCCUUGCAGGGUGUGUGGUGGGGGUGUAGCUUGCUUCUUCAGUGCCCCACUGCUCAAACUUCUAGGGGAGCAUACAGAUGGGCAGGUUGUGGGGCUCCAACCCCACGGCAGUGUCUAGGGGUGAAUGUUUACAGCUCCUGAAGUGCCAGUGGGCGUGUGUUACAGGGUGCUCUGUUAGUUUGCCCUCUCUAGGCAGCUUGUGUUAACCAGCUCAGUUGGACUUUGUUGCAAGGAUAGAAGACUUUCUGUAUCUCCAGGUUCUUGCCUUGGUGUACCAGAAGAAUCAAUCACACAUGGUCUUGGAGAAUGAGUGCAAAGUUUUAUUGAGUGCAGGUAGCUCUCUGCUGCUCUUCCACCAGUAUGCUCUCCACAACCAGCCGCUUGUGUGUUCUUCCACUGAUGUGUCCUCUCAAUGUCCAGACGCUUCUGUCUCUGCCUUGCUAGGAUCUUGGGCUUUUAUAGACCUUGGAUGGGGAGGUGGUGAGCCAGGGUGGUCUUGGGAAAUGCAACAUUUGGGCGUGAAGUCAGGAGUGCCUGUUCUCACCUAGGUCCGUGGGGGUAAAGCCCUAGCUAGGGACCAUGCCUUCCUCUACCCAGCACUUCCCUUCCUCAUUCUGUAUCAUUUAAAGAGACCACACUCCUCCCUUCCCAGCACUCCUGUAUCAGUAGGAAGAUAGAAGAAAACUCUAGAUCACCAUCAAGUUCAAGUCAUUUCAGAUUUUCAGUGAAUAUAUGUUUGCUGUGUCCUUCAGGUACCAAGAUGCAGGGAAAUGAUUAAAAGGCCCUGAGAUAUACAAUACUGAAUGGUAGGGAGGAGGAGGCCUUCUAGGUUGGAAAGUCCCGUAGCUGACUAGCUACUAAAUGUUCUAUCAGCUAUUGAUAAGACCGUGUUCAGAACAUACGGAAAUUGUAGGAUAUAAUUUUUGUAUGUUACUUGUCACCAGCUGUUCAAUAUUAUGAAUUAUUCCUGAGACAUUACAGAAGUUGAGAAUGAAUUGUGCCCAUAAACAGAAAACAUAUUAACCUAUACAAUACACUCGUUUUCCUUUUAGAGACACGAAUACCCCUAGCUCAAGGAGUCGAUAUGUAUAAAAUAGGCAACUAGGGGCAUGCAAAUAUUGUGGAAAUGGUGUUUCUGAUUGGCACUGGCAGAUUUAUUAUUCGAAAUAAUCCUGUUGGCAAAAAAAGGAAAUUUUUUUUCCGUAUCAUAAAAUCUGAUUUCAAAAACUUGCUCCUUUUUGACUUUCUCUAUAAGCUUGUAAGUCUGCAUUCUUCUCUCAUUUUUAUAUCCAGGCUCUAUUGUAAUUUAUCUGUUGCUAACCAGUUUUCAAUAAAA
This 4337-nucleotide long non-coding RNA is filed under the name Homo sapiens (human). RNAcentral's name for it is "HSALNT0402966". Lineage: Eukaryota; Metazoa; Chordata; Mammalia; Primates; Hominidae. The record is from RNAcentral.